CGUUUGAUUCUAUUUUGUUGGUUUCUAGGAUCGACGUAAUGAUUAAUAGGGAUAGUUGGGGGCAUUAGUAUUCAAUUGUCAGAGGUGAAAUUCUUGGAUUUAUUGAAGACUAACUACUGCGAAAGCAUUUGCCAAGGAUGUUUUCAUUAAUCAAGAACGAAAGUUAGGGGAUCGAAGACGAUCAGAUACCGUCGUAGUCUUAACCAUAAACUAUGCCGACUAGGGAUCGGAUGAUGUUAUUUUUAAUGACUCAUUCGGCGCCUUACGGGAAACCAAAGUGUUUGGGUUCCGGGGGGAGUAUGGUCGCAAGGCUGAAACUUAAAGGAAUUGACGGAAGGGCACCACCAGGGGUGGAGCCUGCGGCUUAAUUUGACUCAACACGGGGAAACU
This 390-nucleotide ribosomal RNA is filed under the name fungal sp. Its description in RNAcentral is "SSU rRNA". It matches the Rfam family "Eukaryotic small subunit ribosomal RNA", at positions 827 to 1215 of the family's 1831-position model. The record is from RNAcentral. Lineage: Eukaryota; Fungi.